GGCGAACGCUGGCGGCGUGCCUAACACAUGCAAGUCGAGCGAAGUGAUUUCGAAUGAAGUUUUCGGAUGGAUUUUGGAAUUAUCUUAGCGGCGGACGGGUGAGUAACGCGUGAGAAACCUGCCUUUCACAAAGGGAUAGCCUCGGGAAACUGGGAUUAAUACCUUAUGACACUUUAACCUCGCAUGGGGAAUAAGUUAAAGCGUAAAGCGGUGGAAGAUGGUCUCGCGUCCUAUUAGCUAGUUGGUGAGGUAACGGCUCACCAAGGCGACGAUAGGUAGCCGGCCUGAGAGGGUGAACGGCCACACUGGAACUGAGACACGGUCCAGACUCCUACGGGAGGCAGCAGUGGGGAAUAUUGCACAAUGGAGGAAACUCUGAUGCAGCGACGCCGCGUGAAUGAUGAAGGCCUUCGGGUCGUAAAAUUCUGUCCUUGGGGAAGAUAAUGACGGUACCCAAGGAGGAAGCCCCGGCUAACUACGUGCCAGCAGCCGCGGUAAUACGUAGGGGGCGAGCGUUGUCCGGAAUUAUUGGGCGUAAAGGGUUCGCAGGCGGUCUGAUAAGUCAGAUGUGAAAGGCAAUGGCUCAACCAUUGUAAGCAUUUGAAACUGUCAGACUUGAGUUAAGGAGAGG
RNAcentral lists this ribosomal RNA (631 nucleotides) under uncultured bacterium. RNAcentral's name for it is "bacterial SSU rRNA". It matches the Rfam family "Bacterial small subunit ribosomal RNA", at positions 28 to 657 of the family's 1533-position model. The record is from RNAcentral.